This 253-nucleotide ribosomal RNA is filed under the name uncultured bacterium. Its description in RNAcentral is "partial 16S ribosomal RNA". It matches the Rfam family "Bacterial small subunit ribosomal RNA", at positions 524 to 776 of the family's 1533-position model. The record is from RNAcentral.
UACGAAGGGGGCUAGCGUUGUUCGGAAUGACUGGGCGUAAAGGGUGUGUAGGCGGUUAUACGCGUCAGAUGUGAAAUCCCCGGGCUUAACCUGGGAAUGGCAUUUGAUACGGUAUAGCUAGAGAUUGGUAGAGGGUAGUGGAAUUGCGAGUGUAGAGGUGAAAUUCGUAGAGAUUCGCAGGAACACCGGUGGCGAAGGCGGGUCUCUGGGCAACAACUGACGCUGAGGAGCGAAAGCGUGGGGAGCGAACAGG